GUGGGGAAUAUUGGACAAUGGGCGCAAGCCUGAUCCAGCCAUACCGCGUGGGUGAAGAAGGCCUUCGGGUUGUAAAGCCCUUUUGUUGGGAAAGAAAUCCUGUCGGUUAAUACCUGGCGGGGAUGACGGUACCCAAAGAAUAAGCACCGGCUAACUUCGUGCCAGCAGCCGCGGUAAUACGAAGGGUGCAAGCGUUACUCGGAAUUACUGGGCGUAAAGCGUGCGUAGGUGGUGGUUUAAGUCCGUUGUGAAAGCCCUGGGCUCAACCUGGGAAUUGCAGUGGAUACUGGAUCACUAGAGUGUGGUAGAGGGAUGCGGAAUUUCUGGUGUAGCAGUGAAAUGCGUAGAGAUCAGAAGGAACAUCCGUGGCGAAGGCGGCAUCCUGGGCCAACACUGACACUGAGGCACGAAAGCGUGGGGAGCAAACAGGAUUAGAUACCCCUGUAGUC
This 449-nucleotide ribosomal RNA is filed under the name uncultured bacterium. RNAcentral's name for it is "partial 16S ribosomal RNA". It matches the Rfam family "Bacterial small subunit ribosomal RNA", at positions 354 to 795 of the family's 1533-position model. The record is from RNAcentral.